Molecule: long non-coding RNA, 735 nt
Organism: Ornithorhynchus anatinus (platypus)
Lineage: Eukaryota; Metazoa; Chordata; Mammalia; Monotremata; Ornithorhynchidae
Exons: 3
Source: RefSeq, a predicted model, not a curated record
AAGUCUACAAAACUCCCUGUUGAUUCCAUAUAAAAGACAAAAUAUUAGUUUAUUGAAAGCAGCUUCAUCCAUCGCGGUACAAAGGAGCCCUCUGAUGGAACAGAUUUAUAAAGUACCAGCUGAAAGUCUUUACCUGUAGCUGACCCGGAUCCAACUGACGGCUCCACCGGAUGGUCAGCUCAAAAACUGCACUGUCAGAAGUAGUUCCUGGAAAGAAGACGCGUUCACGGAGAAGCGGAGGCGGAGAGUGAUGGAAUCAUCUCUUUUCUUCUAGACUGUCAGCUCGUUGUGGGCCUACCAAUUCUAGUGUAUUCUACAUUGCUCCGGACGCACCAAGUACCUGAUAAAUACCACUGACUGACUGCCUGAUUUUCCCUUCCCAAAAUGGAGCAGAGAGAGACCAGACAACUCCACGGAGCGUGGAGGGUGAUUGAUUUGAAAUUCCUUCCUCCACCAUGCCAAAACCAAGCUUUCAACUUCAGAACCAUCUCACCUAGGUGCCCUUUACAAAUAAGUAAAAACUGAGCCCUAGGGGAAAUAAAUGUCUGACGUUUAAUUUGGUGAUUGUGCCUCCAGAUCUUUUAAGCCUUUGAAAGAAGUCAAGAGCGUAAACAAACGUCAUGCAUUUGGGCUGAAAUGAUCAUUUUUUUGGUCAAGGAAGGCACCUAUCUCACUUCAUAAAUUCAAGAACUGGAGUUGAAAAUUGACUAUUAAUAAAUAGCUGAGGGAUGGCUA